Non-coding RNA from Pelobates cultripes (western spadefoot toad), 221 nucleotides. Lineage: Eukaryota; Metazoa; Chordata; Amphibia; Anura; Pelobatidae. The record is from the annotation of a GenBank genome assembly.
GGUUAAACUGCACAGGGAACACAGGAGGUCUCAAAUAAAUUCAAACAAUUACAGCUGUAUGUAUAUAAAAAAUACAAAUAAAUCACACUAUAUUCGUUGUUUUUUUUUUUUUAACUUGUAAUGAAAUGCGACGUAGAUCAAAAAGGAAAAAUAGAUGACAAUGAAAUUUACGAUGUAAAUCUCCCAGUUCCUAAAAUAAUAAAUCCUGUCCUCUUUAUUCU